Molecule: ribosomal RNA, 465 nt
Filed under: uncultured bacterium
Lineage: Bacteria
Description: partial 16S ribosomal RNA
Rfam family: Bacterial small subunit ribosomal RNA
Source: RNAcentral
CCUACGUGAGGCAGCAGUGGGGAAUAUUGCGCAAUGGGCGAAAGCCUGACGCAGCGACGCCGCGUGAGGGAUGAAGGUCUUCGGAUCGUAAAACUCUGUCAGCAGGGAAGAACGGUCACUGUGCUAAUCAGCAGGGCAUUGACGGCACCUGCAAAGGAAGCACCGGCUAACUCCGUGCCAGCAGCCGCGGUAAUAUGGAGGGUGCGAGCGUUAAUCGGAAUUACUGGGCGUAAAGCGCUCGUAGACGGUAUGUCAAGGCAAGGGUGAAAUCCCCGGGCUCAACGUGGGAACUGCCUUGGAAACUGGCAGACUGGAGUGUGGGAGAGGAUAGUGGAAUUCCAGGUGUAGGAGUGAAAUCCGUAGAUAUCUGGAGGAACAUCAGUGGCGAAGGCGACUAUCUGGCACAUAACUGACGCUGAGGAGCGAAAGCGUGGGUAGCAAACAGGAUUAGAUACCCCUGUAGUC